RNAcentral lists this ribosomal RNA (561 nucleotides) under Chloroflexota bacterium. Its description in RNAcentral is "bacterial LSU rRNA". It matches the Rfam family "Bacterial large subunit ribosomal RNA", at positions 1 to 535 of the family's 2925-position model. The record is from RNAcentral. Lineage: Bacteria; Bacillati; Chloroflexota.
GGUCAAGCUACUAAGGGCAUAUGGGGAAUGCCUUGGUGCCAGAAGCCGAUGAAGGGCGUAGCAAGGCUGCGAUAAGCCCCGGAUAAGUGUCUAGCGACUUCAGCCGGGGAUUCCCGAAUGGGGAAACCUGCCUCAAUAGAGGCACUAUUCUUUAUGGAUAGAGGUAAGCGGGAGAACUGAAACAUCUAAGUACCCCGAGGAAAAAAAAUCAACCGAGACUCUCUUAGUAGCGGCGAGCGAAAAGGGAAUAGCCCAAACCUUACGGUCCUUACGGAGUAGGAUCCAGUGACCGUUUGGUGUUAUAGGAUCUAUAAUAGAUUUCCUACAAAUCUAAAAAAGUUACAAAUUGUUUACCUAGCUGAACAGUCCUGGAACGGCUGGCCAUAGCAGGUGAAAGCCCUUUAGGCGAAAGGUUAACAACUUUUUUAUAGACUCCUGAGUACAACGGGACACGUGAAAUCUUGUUGGAAUUUGGGGGGACCACCCUCCAAGGCUAAGUACUUCUGGCGACCGAUAGUGAACUAGUACCGUGAGGGAAAGGUGAAAAGCACCCCUUAAGGG